Long non-coding RNA from Clupea harengus (Atlantic herring), 1590 nucleotides. Lineage: Eukaryota; Metazoa; Chordata; Actinopteri; Clupeiformes; Clupeidae. The record is from Ensembl.
UGUGAGACACCUGGACAGAAAGUGUAAGAAUGGCGUGGUGCUUGAUGUACGAGAGAUAAGGCAGACGGCAUGAAGCGGUUGUGUGAAUAUGGACACUGUUUGUGCGCUCUCUCUAGCAGGGAAUAUUAAUUGGGACAAAUGGACUGGAUUUAGUCGGCUUCCAAUCGACGGGGGACGCUCGGAAUAGGGUGGAAGUAGAAUGCGAAUGCGUGUAUUUUUUGGGACUCUUUUUGUGUGUGUUUGUGUAUCUGGGACGCCGGUGCCCACGGACUGAACUUCCAGUGACGGGAGGGUCUCAAUUGCUGCCAGACGGAGGGAAGUUAGGCCAUUGUUUUAACGUGUUUUCAUGAACUCCGAAUUCGGAGAGGGAUAGCCUCUAAGAUUUAGUGUUAGAAAUCGUGGGUGGGUUUUUUGGGAAAUGUUUUUAAAUGUGCUGACUAGCUGAUUUACCCUGAUUAAUUAUUGUUUGCAGUGAUAUACCACGACUAGUUUGCAGUGUCUAUUAAAGUAGUUUAGCAAAUGUGUGCUUAUUUAUAAUUCCCCUUUUGGGCUUUUGGUUGUGUGCAAUACUGUGUGUGGUUAAGGCUUAGUGCAAUAAUUCUGAUAACGCACCCGAAUUCCUGCCGAUUGGCAAUCUAUUAUUCUAUGAUGAAUAAUAAACAGGUUAUAUUUGUACUACAACUUCUCUGACUGCUGGUCUUGUGUGGAACUUGGGACAACAGCUGGACCAUACCGGUUUAAAAAAAGGUGGUGGCAGCAAAAUAUUAGUGACCUCUCUGUUACAUUACAAUAUGUUGAAAAUUAUGUUGGUAGGGACAUCUGAUUUAACCUGAUGAAUGCCAACAUCUCUGGCCUUUUCAUGGGCCGCGUGUGUUGGCGAAGUUGGCAUGUAUAACUAGCUUUUGUUGGAUGACGACCUGACGUGUUGGUAUAAUUUAUCCACAGAAUCAAGACGUUGGUUUGGUCUGAUGGACUUCUCUGCUGCAUCAGCCAACAGUUGGACAUGGGUCAUCCACAUAAAGGUUGCAGCGCUGAUACACAAGGGGUACUUGCAGGAUUGACGGCAUGCUCAACUGGUUCAAGGACAUCACCAUGAGUUUCUGAGUAAUGCAGCCUGUGGUGGAUGCCUCUGGAUCACCAUUUACGGACCUUGUGAAGGAGCUCUUGGAAUGAAGCCCCCCUGAGCCUUUUGGUGGUUGAUGCCUCAGCAGCCAUGUCUUCAGUUCCUGCACCAUUCGCCCUCUAGGGAGAGUAGACGGGAGUUGACCAGGGGCUGUGAAUGAGGAAGGUGUCUGCUCUGAGUCCUGGUGUGCGGUGUCUCCACCUUGCUGUUUUCCUCAUGUUGCAGGGUCCUGGAGGCUUUGGAAGACUGAGCCCUGGUCCCGGAGGCUUUUGAAGACUGAGCCCAGGGUGCUGUGGACAUUGUUGCUGUUGAAAAUGAGCAUCAGCAUUGGCCUGAACGUUUGACAUUCUGGUGUGAAACGCCCAGACUCUUUAUUAAAUAAAAACAUUUUAACUUACCCUUAUCUUGUGUUUUCAUUCAAUUUAGGUGUGAUCACAGCAUAUGAAAUUACUAUUUAAUGAAGGGGC